This 274-nucleotide ribosomal RNA is filed under the name uncultured bacterium. RNAcentral describes it as "partial 16S ribosomal RNA". It matches the Rfam family "Bacterial small subunit ribosomal RNA", at positions 80 to 353 of the family's 1533-position model. The record is from RNAcentral.
UAAGGCCGAUGGCGACCGGCGCACGGGUGAGUAACACGUAUCCAACCUGCCGAUAACUCGGGGAUAGCCUUUCGAAAGAAAGAUUAAUACCCGAUGGCAUAGUUCUUCCGCAUGGUGGAACUAUUAAAGAAUUUCGGUCAUCGAUGGGGAUGCGUUCCAUUAGGUUGUUGGCGGGGUAACGGCCCACCAAGACUACGAUGGAUAGGGGUUCUGAGAGGAAGGUCCCCCACAUUGGAACUGAGACACGGUCCAAACUCCUACGGGAGGCAGCAUG